UACGUAGGGAGCAAGCGUUGUCCGGAAUCAUUGGGCGUAAAGCGCGCGUAGGUGGCCUCAUAAGUCCGCUGUGAAAGUCAAAGGCUCAACCUUUGAAAGCCGGUGGAUACUGUGGGGCUAGAGUACGGAAGAGGCGAGUGGAAUUCCUGGUGUAGCGGUGAAAUGCGCAGAUAUCAGGAGGAACACCAGCGGCGAAGGCGGCGCUCUGGGCCGGAACUGACGCUGAGGAGCGAAAGCGUGGGUAGCAAACAGG
RNAcentral lists this ribosomal RNA (253 nucleotides) under uncultured bacterium. RNAcentral describes it as "partial 16S ribosomal RNA". It matches the Rfam family "Bacterial small subunit ribosomal RNA", at positions 524 to 776 of the family's 1533-position model. The record is from RNAcentral.